CCAGAUGUUCCCCUUCAUUGCACAGCAUGAGGAGGUGGAAAGGAGCCAAAAAACUGCGUUAAGAAAGAAAAAAACUCCCAAAAGCCAAUCCAACAAACAACCAAGGAUCAAGAGGAACAGGAUAGUUGACUUCUUUAACGUUCAUUUUCAACAGCCUAUUUCAGCUUCCUGCCUCUGCUGUGUUUCCACCUUUGGAUGGGCAGGAGUUGAACUGUGGCAUCUGGCAGAAGCCAGCUUUAACGUGGGAUUUAUCCUGAAUAAAAUACUUGCAGAAGGAAAAGAAACGUCAUUUGACUCAUUGAAGAUUUAAAACCAACAGAGUCAUGUGGGAGAAAAUGAAAUUUUAGUCUCAAGUGGCAGAAUCGAGUCAUAAGAAGUAAAGAGAUUUGGAUGGUUUCUCACUAAAUGGAAAUUAUAUAGACGGCUUCUAAGACCACUGCAUCUCUCCAUCCCGCUCCUGCUGCACAGAGACUGCACUCU
RNAcentral lists this long non-coding RNA (480 nucleotides) under Zonotrichia albicollis (white-throated sparrow). RNAcentral's name for it is "lncRNA (ENSZALG00000017747.1)". The record is from RNAcentral. Lineage: Eukaryota; Metazoa; Chordata; Aves; Passeriformes; Passerellidae.